GACGAACGCUGGCGGCGUGCUUAACACAUGCAAGUCGAACGGUAAGGCCUUCGGGUACACGAGUGGCGAACGGGUGAGUAACACGUGGGUGAUCUGCCCCCUACUCUGGGAUAAGCCUGGGAAACUGGGUCUAAUACCGGAUAUGACCUCCUUCUGCAUGGUUGGUGGUGGAAAGUUUUUUCGGUAGGGGAUGAGCCCGCGGCCUAUCAGCUUGUUGGUGGGGUAAUGGCCUACCAAGGCGACGACGGGUAGCCGGCCUGCGAGGGCGACCGGCCACACUGGGACUGAGACACGGCCCAGACUCCUACGGGAGGCAGCAGUGGGGAAUAUUGCACAAUGGGCGAAAGCCUGAUGCAGCGACGCCGCGUGGGGGAUGACGGCCUUCGGGUUGUAAACCCCUUUCAGUCGGGACGAAGCGAGAGUGACGGUACCGAUAGAAGAAGCACCGGCCAACUACGUGCCAGCCGCCGCGGUAA
This 476-nucleotide ribosomal RNA is filed under the name uncultured bacterium. Its description in RNAcentral is "partial 16S ribosomal RNA". It matches the Rfam family "Bacterial small subunit ribosomal RNA", at positions 28 to 523 of the family's 1533-position model. The record is from RNAcentral.